CGGGCCGGGGGAGCCGCCUGCCGCAGAUGCGCGGCGUCCUCGGAACCGCGUGAAUUCCGCCCGCACCUGCUGAACGCAGAGCUGGACCUCGAGGCCUGAAGGAGCCCCCAGAGCGACGCUCCCGCCCUCCCCCCGCUGGACCCCCAGGACGCAUGGCCCUUCGCAGCUCUGGGAAGCCGGACAGCGGGUGUCACUUGGGACCCUCCCCGUCCUGGCUCCCUUCCCAGCACAGCCUCCCCACGACCUCCUGCCCCUCCCGCCCGCUGGGCCACCAGGAGAACCGGCCCUGCGACGACCUUGGACCCCCCCCAGGCCCAGGUGCAGGUCUGGCUUAAGUUUCCUCAGAAGUGCCAGGAGCUUUAAAGGGCGUCUUUCCUCUCCCUCGGCCCCUUCCUCGAGACAUCAAGCGGACACGUCCGGCAGGCAUGGGUGACAGGGGCGCAGAAGAGCGG
RNAcentral lists this long non-coding RNA (452 nucleotides) under Heterocephalus glaber (naked mole-rat). RNAcentral describes it as "lncRNA (ENSHGLG00000033695.1)". The record is from RNAcentral. Lineage: Eukaryota; Metazoa; Chordata; Mammalia; Rodentia; Bathyergidae.